RNAcentral lists this long non-coding RNA (432 nucleotides) under Numida meleagris (helmeted guineafowl). RNAcentral describes it as "lncRNA (ENSNMEG00000019670.1)". The record is from RNAcentral. Lineage: Eukaryota; Metazoa; Chordata; Aves; Galliformes; Numididae.
CUGGAAGUUGCCUGAGUCUGAAGAUCAGGUUAUUCUUCUGUUUUAAGAGUAAUAACUAUUUCCUGAAGAACUCAGAAUGUGGCUGUGUACUGACACCGGUAGCCAAACUGCCAGUUGUGAGGAAAGAUGACAAACUGAAACAGGCAAGCAGGUUGUCUCAUCUCUCACAGGCUGCAGAUGCAUACGUGUUGAAUAAAGCUGUCUUCAUCCUUGGCAUCUUGAAUACAUACUGCAAUAAGUAAGCUGGGAGGCUGUCACAUUUACACAGAGUUGGAGGUCCCUGUUCUGCUACAGCAAUGGAACGGUUUUGCUACACCACUGUCCUAGGACAAUAUUGAUAAAAACAGAUAUUAACUGAGUUGCAAAAAUACCAAGUUGAAUUUCAAAAUGUAGCAUUUUGGAAAUGCCAGCCACAUGUAAUUUUUCAAAACU